CGUAGCAUAAUCCGGUUUUGCCAAAGACCUAAGCCCUUUUCAUAGAAGUUCAAAUCUUCUCGCUAGCU
This 68-nucleotide transfer RNA is filed under the name Hyloxalus azureiventris (sky-blue poison frog). RNAcentral's name for it is "tRNA-Leu". It matches the Rfam family "tRNA". From Rfam's summary of the family: Transfer RNA (tRNA) molecules are approximately 80 nucleotides in length. Their secondary structure includes four short double-helical elements and three loops (D, anti-codon, and T loops). Further hydrogen bonds mediate the characteristic L-shaped molecular structure. tRNAs have two regions of fundamental functional importance: the anti-codon, which is responsible for specific mRNA codon recognition, and the 3' end, to which the tRNAs corresponding amino acid is attached (by aminoacyl-tRNA synthetases). tRNAs cope with the degeneracy of the genetic code in two manners: having more than one tRNA (with a specific anti-codon) for a particular amino acid; and 'wobble' base-pairing, i.e. permitting non-standard base-pairing at the 3rd anti-codon position. Lineage: Eukaryota; Metazoa; Chordata; Amphibia; Anura; Dendrobatidae. The record is from RNAcentral.